Molecule: ribosomal RNA, 226 nt
Filed under: uncultured bacterium
Lineage: Bacteria
Description: partial 16S ribosomal RNA
Rfam family: Bacterial small subunit ribosomal RNA
Source: RNAcentral
UCUGUAGCUGGUCUGAGAGGAUGAUCAGCCACACUGGGACUGAGACACGGCCCAGACUCCUACGGGAGGCAGCAGUGGGGAAUUUUGGACAAUGGGGGCAACCCUGAUCCAGCCAUUCCGCGUGAGUGAAGAAGGCCUUCGGGUUGUAAAGCUCUUUCGGCAGGAACGAAACGCGAGCUCUAACAUAGCUCGCUAAUGACGGUACCUGAAGAAGAAGUACCGGCCU